AUGAAGAGACAAUUGGAUAUGACUAAGUCCAGGGGUGGUGACGUGUUCUUACCGAUGAUCAAUAUCGAUGUUUGCCGAUGGCCAUAACAGGAAGGUUGCCGAUGACUCUGAAGGAAAGCGUGGAGAUUGCCGAUCGAUCCGUGGUGGUGUCCUGGUCGGUUACAAGGGGGUAGUUUUAUGUUUUCCUUAGUUAUUUAAAUUCGUUUUGUAUACGGAUUCUGUUUAAUUUGGAAUUCGAGUCCUAGUCGUGUCUGAUUGUAGCUCUUCGAGCAGGGUAUAAAUAUAGACCCUAGGGCCUUGUAAUGAGAUAUCUAUUAAUCAAUCAAACACAAGUUUUUACUCAUAUUCUAGCAUCUACUUUUUCGACGACUUCGUCACAUUUUUCCUUUUUUACGAGUUCUUAGGAGUUCGUCGACUUAAGCUCGGCGUAUUCUCGAGUUCCGCGUGAAUACCUCUUGGCCGUGACAUCCGGGCGCAUCGCUGUUGUCGGGACCAAAGUAUUCGAGUUAUCACCUUUGCCGAUAGUAAGGUCAAAUCGGCUGGCACGCCUUAACGUUUGAAUCAGGUAUUAGCCCUUUGUGUUUGCAGAUCAACUUUUGCACCAACACAUCUUUUGGCACGCCCAGUGGGAUAGAUUCAAGAUCAAGAUCAACAUGUCGAACACCGAUUUUGACUUGGAGAACGUCAUCCCCAUGACGGAAGCCAAUCUCAGAGAUGAGCAGAAGCAAGCUAUUGCAAAAGCCAUGGAGGAUUACAAGCAGCAAUGUUUGAAGUCCUUCAGUAUCAACAGGAGCGGCGAGGUAAUCCAAAAGGAAGCACUGCCGGCUCCUCGGUAGCUUACUUUUGAAGCCAAUCCUGGUAAACUCCAAGACAUGGUCGUCAAUGCCGUCAACCGUGCCUUGAUCAACCAAGCUAGUGUGCUGUCCAAUACGAUUUUCAACGCCGUGGCUAGAACUUUCAAAGAGGGACAAUUGUCACCAAAUUAUGUGGGCCCUGUCUAUCAUCAGCUAGGAUCACCAGUUGUCACAGCUCCAUCAGCUACUACGGCCGUUGCGGGUACAGAAACUACUACUCCUCCAAGCACACUAGAACUCACUAAUGUGCAAUCUACGCCGAUGACAACUAAUCCACCAACAUCAGAUGAGCAAAUUAAGCUUGCCACAGAUCUAUUGGCAUCGGCAAUGUCGGGGUCUGUUCCUCCCAACUGGUGGGGUUAUGGUAUGCCCCCAGAGAUGAUGUUGAAGACGCCAGGCAUGUCUCAAACGGCUGACAUGAGAGGCAAGGCUCCUAUGACAUCGGCACCUCCAAAUCUACCGAUGAAUCAGAGUCCCCAGUAUACUACAACUACUACUGCAAGACCUUACACUGGGAAUUCUCAAGCUCCAAUGUUCUAGAUGCCUAAUGCAUCGGCGGAUUUAAUGCUGACGCAACAAAGGUUUAUGACAUAGCCAGGGUUUGUCGAUUCAAUGAUGAUGCCCAAUUUCCAGUCAUCGGCAGGGUUUUUAUGCCGAUGAAUGCCAACAAUGGAUGGACAGGGCAGCCAGUCUUUCCACAGAUGCCUCAACAGGAUCAUCAGGCUCCAGGGUUUCAACAAAGCCAGGUCCAGCCUGGAUUCCAGAAUCAACGGUUGGCCAACCAGCCGAUGAAUCUUGGUCAGCAGUUUGGUGGACAGAUGAUCAACCCUAUGUUCCAUGCAGAUCGUGCGCCUCAGCGACACGUGGAAGUUUAUCAGCAGGCGCCAGAUCCACAGCCACCCCAUCGGCAAGAUGUCGAUGCUUAUUGGGAUGAUAAGAUUGCUGAAGUAAUGAGAGACCAAUUUGGGAUAAAACCCAAAGUCAACACUUACUCUUAUCGGAUGCCGUAUCCUCCUGCAUACGAUUUAAUUCCACUUCCAAAUUGGUAUAAGGUACCAGAUUUCACUAAGUUUUCUGGACAGGAUGAUACAUCGACUAUGGAGCAUGUCAACAGAUUUAUCAUCCAAUGUGGGGAAGCUGCUAACAGAGAUGAGUUAAGAGUUCGCUUGUUCUCAUCGUCUUUAUCUGGGUCGGCUUUUACUUGGUUUAUUUCGUUACCUCCUAACUGAGUGAUCACUUGGGCCGAUCUGGAGAAGCAAUUCCACAAGUACUUCUUUUCUGGAGUCCAUGAGAAGAAGAUUACUGAUCUGGUCAGAUUAAAACAGCGCAAUGAUGAAUCGGUUGAAAGUUUUGUGCAGAGGUUGCGGGAAGUCAAGAAUAAAUGCUAUAGUCUGGUUUUGGACGAUCGGCAGCUAGCCGAUUUGGCUUUCCAAGGUUUGUUGCCACAUAUCAGGGACAAAUAUGCUUCUCAAGAGUUCGAGAGCCUGAGUCACUUGGUCUAGAGGAUUUCCGACUAGGAUAUUAAGCCCUUUGAACCUAAGAGAGCUUGGAACAAAAAGAUGUCGUUUGUUGAUGAAGCAGCAAGCUCAGAUUCUGAUGAAGAGCCAGUCAUCGGCUUGGCAGAGUGGGUGAAAAACAAGAAGCCGAUGUCUUACCCUUUUGGUCAUAAGGAGCCACAGAAGUUUGCAUUUGAUGUCACCAAAGCCGAUAGGAUAUUUGACUUUCUACUUCAAGAAGGUCAGAUCAAAUUGUCCCCCAAUCAUGUAAUUCCAUCGGCUGAAGAGUUGAAGAAGAUGAAAUACUGCAAGUGGCACAAUGCAACCUCUCACAGCACCAAUGAGUGCAAGGUUCUUAGACAACAGCUGCAAUCGGCUAUUGAAUCUGGGAGAAUCAAAUUUGAUAGUUCCAAAGCUCAGAAUCCGAUGAAGAUCGAUCAACAUCCUUUCCCAACAAAUAUGUUGGAUGCUAAGGGAAAAACCAAGGUCUUGACGUCGGAAGCAGCUGAAAGGAGUGCAUCGGUAGAUGCUCAGCAUCAAAUUACUACUGCCGAUGCCAAAGGAAAAGGAGGGAACUAACUCAGGAAGGCCUCCCCAAUCUGGUAUUGUGAUAACUCAUAGAAGGCCUCAGGAGACUUGGCAGCAACGAGAGGAUCGGCAUAGGCGCCAGCAAGAAGACUAUCAUCGGGAAGAAGAAAGACGCCGACAGGCGUGGAAUCGGCACAAGGAUCACUGGAACUGCCUGUUCUUUAUCCAUUGCUGGGAGCAGAACAUUAAAUUACCCACUGAUAGAGAUUGCCCUGAGUGCAAUGGUUAUGAUCGGUAUGAUAGAUCUGAUCGGCGCUAUCACGGAGAUGAUCGGAGAUUUAAUGGGCCGAUUAGGGGGAGAGCGUCAGUUCAUGAUCGGCUGGGGGGCAGGCUUAGUGUACAUGACAGGCUUGGUGAUCGCGUUGAAUAUUUUCCCAGGAACCAAGAAGAGCUUGAAGAAAUGGCCAAUGCGCGAAUUCUCGAUGAGUUCAUAUUUUGCAGGGACGCCAAUACUCAUCGGAUGGAGUUAAGGGAACAUCGUCGUCCAUCGGCCAGGCAGUCACCACUUCCCCCAUGGUGUCCAGAGGGGUUGACUAAGACACAGAAGAGGAGACUGCAACGCGAAAGACGAGAAGAGCUAAGCAAGAGCGAGAACUCUGGCCAGUCUGGGGAUCAGCAACAACCAGAUCCUAAAGGGAAAGGGCCAUCGGCAGAUGUUAACAUGGUAUUCAUGCUGCCGAUGGAAUUCCUUGCGCCGUUCGGCGAUGAUGAGGAGUUGGAGUUUUCCGACCAAAUAGCUCAAUUGGCUCUGGAUCCGAUGACGGCUAUCUUUGAAAAGCCUGCCGACAAUGAAAGGCAGCAUCUUAAAGCUUUGUUUGUCAAGGGAAGAGUUGAUGGUCAGCCAAUGACCAAGAUAUUAAUUGAUGGUGGAGCUGCUAUCAACAUUAUGCCGUAUGCAGUCUAUCGGAAGCUUAGAAAAGGAGAUCAAGAUUUGACCAAAACCGAUAUGAUGCUAAAAGAUUUUGAAGGGAACAUGUCUCCAGUUAAGGGAGCAAUCUGCGUCGAAUUGACCAUCGGCAGCAAGACCUUGCCGACGACCUUCUUUGUGAUCAGUGGAAAAGGUGCUUAUAAUUUGCUACUAGGGAGAGAUUGGAUUCAUGCCAAUUGUUGCAUCCCAUCUACGAUGCACCAAUGUUUGGUCAGUGGGUAGGCGACAAGAUUGAGAUUGUCCCGGGAGAUUCUUCUUAUGUCAUUGCAUCGGCAGAAGCUGAUACCUAUGAGAGGACCAGGUGCAUCUCGGGAGAGAUUUGGGAGAAGGAUUUCCUUAAGGUCGCUGAUUAUGAAAUUCCACCGAUCUAAGCAGUCGGUUCUGAUGAGGAGUUUUAAUGGAUAGAUUCGCCGAUGACGGAAAGUUAGGCCACGAGUUCACAUCGGCCAAUGAUUUGGUAGAAGUAGAUAUAGGUAGUGGUGACAAGCCUAGACCUACUUUUAUUAGUGCUAAGUUAAAUUCUGAGUGUAAGCAGCAGUUAACCGAUUUGUUAAAGGAAUAUAAAGAUUGCUUUGCUUGGGAUUAUACUGAGAUGCCUGGUUUGGACCGAUCAAUUGUUGAACAUCGGUUACCCAUCAAAUCUGGAUUUCGGCCACAUCAAUAGCCAGCUCGCCGAUGUAAUCCUAAUAUUCUUCCUGAUAUUAAGGCUGAAAUAACUAAACUUAUCAAAGCUAAAUUUAUUCAGCAGUGUUGGUAUGUCGAGUGGAUUUCCAAUGUUGUUCCAGUCUACAAGAAAAAUGGGAAGCUUCGGGUUUGCAUUGAUUUCAGGAAUCUUAAUAAAGCUACACCGAUGGAUGGCUACCCAAUGCCGGUUGCCGAUCUGCUAGUUGAUGCUGCGGCUAGGCAUCGGAUCAUCAGCUUUAUGGAUGGCAAUGCAGGAUACAAUCAAAUAUUCAUGGCUGAAGAAGAUAUUCCAAAGACUGCAUUUAGAUGUCCUGGUCAUGUUGGGUUGUUUGAAUGGAUAGUUAUGACCUUUGGUUUGAAAAAUGCUGGUGCUACUUAUCAGAGGGCUAUGAAUUUUAUCUUUCAUGAGUUCAUCGGCAAGCUGGUGGAAAUUUAUAUUGAUGAUGUGGUGGUUAAGUCUGGGGAUUUCACAAAACAUCUUGCCGAUUUGAGAAAGGUGUUGGAGUGUACGCGGAAGCAUGGUUUGAAGAUGAACCCUAACAAGUGUGCAUUUGGUGUAUCGGUAGGGUAAUUCCUUGGUUUCAUGGUGCAUCAAAGGGGGAUUGAAAUUAGUAGGAGAUCCAUUGAUGCUAUCAACAAAAUAGUUGCUCCUACCAACAAAACUGAGCUCCAGUCCUUGAUCGGCAAGGUAAAUUUUAUCAGGAGGUUUAUAUCUAACUUGUCUGGUAAAAUUCGUGCUUUCAGUCCUUUGCUUAAACUGAAAGUCGAUCAAGAGUUCAUCUGGGGGAGAGAGCAACAGUUGGCUCUAGAUGAGAUCAAGAAUUAUUUGGUAAAUCCUCCAGUUCUGAUUCCACCUCAGCAAGGAAAGCCCUUCAGGUUAUACUUAUCUACCGAUGGUAUGGUCAUCGGUUCGGCUUUAAUUCAAGAAUUUGAAGGAAAGGAACGUGUGAUUUAUUAUUUAAGUAGGAGGUUGAUUGAUGCUGAGACCAGGUAUUCGGCCAUUGAAAAGUUAUGUUUAUGCCUAUAUUUUUCAUGUAUUAAGUUAAGGCAAUAUUUACUAUCGGCCGAAUGCACUGUUAUAUGCAAAGAUGAUGUGGUUCGGUAUAUGCUAUCUAUGCCGAUCAUGAGUGGUAGAAUCGGUAAAUGGAUUUUGGCACUGUCGGAAUUCGAUCUGCGCUAUGAAUCGGCUAAAGCGGUUAAAGGACAGAUUAUGGCUGAUUUUGUAACUCAACAUUGCGGUGCAGUGGAAACUUUGGAAAUUGUGCCUCGGACAUUCUUCUUUGAUAGAUCCACGUGUGACCGGGGGGCAGGAAUCAGCAUAGUGUUAAUUUCCCCUCAGGGAAGGAAGUAUGAAUUCUCUUUGCCGAUUAUUGCCACGUCGACGAAUAAUCAAGCUGAGUAUCAAGCCUUAAUUAAGGGGUUGGAGUUGUUGAAAGAGGUUCAUGCUGACAGUGUUGAAAUCUUUGGGGAUUCUAUGUUGGUUAUAAAUCAAUUAGCUGGAAGUUAUGAAUGCCGAAGUGAGGUCUUAAUAACGUAUUAUGAAAGGAGUAUGCAACUGUUGAAGGAACUCAAGGAUUUCCGAUUGGAGCAUGUUCCUCGAUUGCAUAAUGAAGAGGCCAAUCGGUUGGCUCAGCAUGCCUCGGGAUAUCAGCCCAUAUUAAGCACAAUAUCGGCAAUCAGUGCCGAUGAUUGGAGAAAAGAAAUCAUUGAUUAUUUAAAGGAUCCAUCCAAGAAAGUUGAGAGACGUGUUCAGUUUCAAGCCACCAAGUAUGUGCUCCUCGAAGAUGGAUUAUAUUAUCGAACAAUUGAUGGGAUUCUUCUCAAAUGCCUAGGUGAUGAUGAGGCUACAAGUUUAAUGGGAGAAAUUCAUGAAGGAGUAUGUGGAGCACAUCAGUCGGCUUUUAAGAUGAAAUGGAUGAUUAGGAGGAAUGGGUAUUAUUGGCCAACCAUACUUGAAGAUUGUUUUAAAUAUUUCAAGGGGUGUCAAGGAUGUUAGAAGUUUGGCAAUAUUCAGAGGGCACCCGCAUCGGCCAUGAAUCCCAUUAUUAAACCUUGGCCGUUCCAGGGAUGGGCUAUUGAUCUAAUCGGCCAAAUUUACCCACCAUCAAGCAAAGGGCAUAAAUUCAUCUUGGUUGCCACUGAUUAUUUCACCAAGUGGGUUGAAGCUAUUCCUUUGAAGAAAGUCACAUCGGCUAAUAUGAUUGAUUUUGUGAAAGAGUAUAUUAUUUACCGAUUUGGAAUUCCUCAAACAAUUACUACCGAUCAGGGUACUAUGUUCACAUCAGGGGAGUUUGAUGAGUUUGCAAUCGGUAUGGGAAUUAAAGUAUUAAAUUCUUCUCCUUAUUAUGCUCAAGCUAAUGGGCAGGCCAAGGCAUCUAACAAAGGAAUUAUCAAACUUAUUAAACGGAAGAUUGAGGAAAAUCCUAGGAGGUGGCAUACAUUGUUAAAUGAAGCUUUGUGGUCAUAUCGGAUGGCUUGUCAUGGAUCGACCAAGGUUUCACCUUAUCAAUUGGUGUACGGGCAUGAUGCAGUGCUACCUUGGGGAAUUAAAACUGGGUCUAGGCGACUGUCUUUUCAAGAUCAAUUGGCUGCCGAUGAUUAUACUACUUUGAUGACAGACAAGUUGGAUGAUCUAGCAGGGCAUCGGCUAAGGGCUUUGAUUAGUAUAGAAGAAAAUAAGAAGAGAGUUGCAGAUGGUAUGAUAAGAAAGUAAAGGCAAAGGAGUUUGCCGAUGGAGACUUAGUAUGGAAACUAAUCUUACCGAUCGGGACUAUCGGCAAGACGCUGGGCAGCCUUUUGAUAUUGCAACUGACGACUCUCUAAGUGUGCAGCCUGAAAAAGAACCUCCUCGGCAUCGGUAGGGAUUUGACCUCUGAGAGCCUUGAACAGAACUUUGGGUGGAUCAGAGUCAUCGACCAAUUGCGCUGUGUCUUGAUGGAGAAGGGGUGACAGAUCCACCAGCUUUGCUCUAAUCUCUACCGACGAGAUUCCAACUGCUCGAGAAGAACUUGCUUCCUCGCCUUCAUCCUCAGAGAUCUCGAUGGCAAAGGAGAACAGGCUGUCGGGAGAAUCUUGUUCCUAGAAAAGAAGACAGAAUAAGUUGUUUUAUGAUCAAGUACUGAUAACGAUAAAAAUAAGGAUCGGGUAACUUACUUGCUUCAGAGCCAUCUCUCGCCUCUGACUAGUUGAAGCCGAUGGAACCACAGGUUGAUCGGCUGGGAUUGCCGAUGAGACUAUGUCGGCUGAAAGAUUAACAGAGGUAAUUACAAAUUGGAAAAAGUGGGUUCAUCGGCAAUGAAUAAAAAGUAUGUUACCUUGAGGAGGCGCAGUACUAGUCUGAAUCGAGGAAACUAUCGAUGCUAUGAUUAAGCUUGCUGGAUCGGCAGUCUGCUCGCGUACAUCAGCCGAUGUUUCUUCUGGCUGGAGUUCUUCUAUUUGGGUUUCUUCUUGUGGUUGAGGAGGAGACGGUGCUAGUUGUAUCUGAGCUUCUGGAGGAGAAGGAGAUGAUUCUACUGGGAUCGGAGAUACUGGGGGAGGAGAAGGCGUUGUUGUUCUCUGGCGCUUCACUUGUGAUCUGGUACUCUUGGAGCCUUUUCUCUUCGGUUGACUGGACUGGGGGGCAUCGGCAGUCGUACUUCUGGUCUUUGCUGAUAUACCGGUGUGCUGAUACAACAAUAAGAAGUUUAUGAGUACAAGUGUGAUAGGUAUAAGAAUGAAAUCGGUAUGAAUAAAAGAAUUCGAAAAUUUACCUUGAAGGCUUGUGCUAAGGUAGAGGCAGCUACCGAUGGGGAUGUCUUCAUCCGCUUGGUGGUAACUUUGUUAAGGCGCACACCCCGAUGCAUUAUAGUAGCUAAGGUUGGAGCGUUGUUACCGAUCAAAGAGAUCGGGCCCGAUGGGAGGAGCUCAAUCGGCUUACCACUCCUGCUGACCAAUGGCGGUGUGUCAUCGACCUGUAUAUGACAAAGAAAGUGAGUUGCCGAUUGAAAAAGACAGUGAAGGAAUUGAAGCAUCGGUAUUAAAGUACUUACAGUGUUAUCAGAGACUUUGUGCUGGGGGUCGAUCAUGCCGCGGUAUGUGAGAACCGAUCUACAGAAUAGGUGUUCAUUCCAUUCUUCCCACCACUGUUUGUAUAUCUGAGUAAUGAAGAGAGCUGGAAUCCAAGCCGAUAGAUCAACAUCUGUAUCGGCAUUUGGUGGAAGUUGGGCUACUCUGAUCCACUCGAGAUGGCUAGUGAUAGUAGUUUCCCUUGGCUUUAUCACAUCAGCGUAGCAAAGUGCAAUCGGCAGUUGGCCGAAGGCUAGUUGGCGAGCUAGUGCCGAUGGGUUAUAAAACUCAUAAGUCAGAUUGGAAGCUUUCCCACUACCGAAGAAGUUCACUGGAAUGGCUCUUGGGGUGAUAAUUGCCAUCAUCACAUCUCGGUCCUUGUUAAGAGCAUCGAUGAAGGGGUGGAAAGUCAAAGGAAAUCUGGUAUCUGGGUCUUCAUAAGGCAUCCAUGCCCGCUGUUCUCUGGUCAGACCCUCAUACAGAGUUUGGAAGAAUCGGCUAACCUGGUCUGCGUUACCACCUGUGCGAGGCAAAACUAUGGCAGCUUCGCCAAAGUUCAGAGGGGAACGAGUUGCCGAUUCUUCUUCAUCCAGUUCAUAAUCCUUGGCUAUAUCCCUGGGGAAGAGCUGUGCAAAGAGGUCGAACUCGAGGCGCUUGUGCAUGUGGAGACUAAGCCACAUAUUGAUGAACCACCAGGGACCCCCUAAGUUGCCGAUGGGUUGACCAAGCAGUAGUUUCUGGGCUACCUGGUGGAGGAGGUGAUAAGCAGAGCCAAGUAGGUAUCGGCCGAGAGGAAAUCGGCCACCAUUGGCUAAUCUUUCUGCUGCCGACAAGUAAACAGAAGUUGGUCCUCCCGACGGCCACAGAACACGAAUUUAUCCAGCCACAUGUUCAGAAAAGUGGUCUGUUCCUUUGCAUUGACAGGACCUGUUCUUCGGUACUUAUGAAUGUACCCUGACCAACCGCCGAUAGCACGAGUUUCUACCUUAGCACUGGGUUUGGUAUCAAACAGGUGGGUGGUAUCGGCAGUGGAUACAUCUAAGCCGGUGAGCAUAAGUACAUCGGCAAGUGUAGGAGAAGCAGGGCCAUGGCCAAACACAAAAUCAUUGAGUGUGUCUGACCAAAAGUAUGAGGCAGCUAUCAGUAGUGACUCAUUUCUCUCCAUAUCGGCAAGAGACAAUCUAAUGCACUGAUCUAAUUUCCGUUCACCCCAUUGGACCUCAUUUGAGUUACUGACUCUCAGAAACCAAUCCUUCCAUCCCUUAGUAGGACUGGGCCAGGAACGAAAGGCAUCUUUCCAUAGAUCUAGAGAAAAAUUCUUGGCUCUGAAGGGGAUUCUGUUUGUCUCUGCGUUUAUAAGAUCGGUGGGAUCUAAGUUUCCUAGUGGGCCAAGGCAUUGGAGAUGGGGUUGAUCGGUAGGGAUUGCGAUCUUGUUGGCCAAAUCCUAAAGAUUGUAAGGAUGGAAGAAAAAGUAAAAAAAAAAGGAAUAUUCAGUAAAAGGAAUUGCGGAUGGACAAAAGUACGGCAAAAGUAUGAAAAAAGAAGGGGGGUAAGCUAACUUCUGGGACGACGAAGUUGACGGCCAUUGCUCCGCGAGGAAGAAGAUCGAAGACUUGGGGUUGUUGGAAGAAGUUCUUGCUGGGGUUCUUGGAGUUCUCAAACAAGUGCCGCCGCCAGGAAGGCAGAGUUUGGGCUGUAGAAUGAUGUGAUGGAGAAGGAGUACCAGAGAAAGAAGUAUUUAUAGGACAAAACGGGCAAAGGCAAAUUUGACUUAUCUCUUUGCCGCAUCCGUGAAACCCGAGGGUACUCAGGUGGAUAUGGUAAUUGUUCGCACGAUAAUCAAGGGAUUGCGCAGGUGAUUUGACAGGAAGCGGUCAUGAUUUUGGAGAUAUUUCACUGUGCAAGAUCUCCUGGUCGGUCCAUCGGCAGUUUCUCCUAACGGUAAUAUUGCCGAUAGGCACAUAAAGUGGAGAGAUCCGGUUCGGAAGGUUGAGGAAUUCGAGGAAUCUGCAGGAGAAUCGGACCAAGGUUGUUCAGAUUUAAACGGUCGGUUACCAAAUUGGGAGAACUAAUUGCGGAAAGGCAUCAUUACUGCAGAGAAUUUUGGAGCAUCAAUGAUGUUAUACUCCGAAAUUGGGGGGCAUGUGUUGACACCGUUUUUAGACACGUACCCAGGGACCUGUAGAAUAUAGAUCGGCAGGUGGAGCAGCGGUAACUGGUCUGCAGAAGAAUUGCCGAUGAGGAUAGUUGCCGAUGAAGAGACAAUUGGAUAUGACUAAGUCCAUGGGUGGUGACGUGUUCUUACCGAUGAUCAAUAUCGAUGUUUGCCGAUGGCCAUAACAGGAAGGUUGCCGAUGACUCUGAAGGAAAGCGUGGAGAUUGUCGAUCGAUCCGUGGUGGUGUCCUGGUCGGUUACAAGAGGGUAGUUUUAUGUUUUCCUUAGUUAUUUAAAUUCGUUUUGUAUACGGAUUCUGUUUAAUUUGGAAUUCGAGUCCUAGUCGUGUCUGAUUGUAGCUCUUCGAGCAGGGUAUAAAUAUAGACCCUAGGGCCUUGUAAUAAGAUAUCUAUUAAUCAAUCAAACACAAGUUUUUA
RNAcentral lists this long non-coding RNA (11186 nucleotides) under Sorghum bicolor (sorghum). Its description in RNAcentral is "long non-coding RNA (SBIC_LNC016507)". Lineage: Eukaryota; Viridiplantae; Streptophyta; Magnoliopsida; Poales; Poaceae. The record is from RNAcentral.